GAUGAACGCUGGCGGCGUGCCUAAUACAUGCAAGUCGAGCGAACAGACGAGGAGCUUGCUCCUCUGACGUUAGCGGCGGACGGGUGAGUAACACGUGGAUAACCUACCUAUAAGACUGGGAUAACUUCGGGAAACCGGAGCUAAUACCGGAUAAUAUAUUGAACCGCAUGGUUCAAUAGUGAAAGACGGUUUUGCUGUCACUUAUAGAUGGAUCCGCGCCGCAUUAGCUAGUUGGUAAGGUAACGGCUUACCAAGGCAACGAUGCGUAGCCGACCUGAGAGGGGGGUCGGCCCAACUGGAACUGAGACAAGGUCCAGACUCCUAAGGGAGGCAGCAGUAGGGAAUCUUCCGCAAUGGGCGAAAGCCUGACGGAGCAACGCCGCGUGAGUGAUGAAGGUCUUCGGAUCGUAAAACUCUGUUAUUAGGGAAGAACAAAUGUGUAAGUAACUAUGCACGUCUUGACGGUACCUAAUCAGAAAGCCACGGCUAACUACGUG
This 497-nucleotide ribosomal RNA is filed under the name uncultured bacterium. RNAcentral describes it as "partial 16S ribosomal RNA". It matches the Rfam family "Bacterial small subunit ribosomal RNA", at positions 28 to 507 of the family's 1533-position model. The record is from RNAcentral.